This 528-nucleotide long non-coding RNA is filed under the name Macaca nemestrina (pig-tailed macaque). RNAcentral's name for it is "lncRNA (ENSMNEG00000045907.1)". Lineage: Eukaryota; Metazoa; Chordata; Mammalia; Primates; Cercopithecidae. The record is from RNAcentral.
GAAUGCCACAAAGGAGCUUUGAAUAUUGGACUAACCUCAAAUGUCCUUCCACUGUAUGUAUGUAUCUUUUCCUAUGUCUACAUAUCUUCUCAUUUGAAAACAAACUAUUUACAUGUGGAAAAAUUCAAGGGUUCCAGCAAUCGGUGUUGAUAGUGACAUGGCCCCAAACAUUGAUUUCCAAGCUCUGGAUUUCUCGCAGGGCCGGGUGAGCUAAUGGGCUUUGCCUACCGGCUGGAGAGAUCUGUGGGCCUUCCCCUUCCUACUCACUUUUCCUCCUCCCACUCUUCUCCCCUCCUCAGGCCCGUUCUUCCUACUUUUCCUCAACUCUCCUUCCUCCCUCCUCCCUCCUUCUCCCUUAGCUCCCCCCACCUCUUCCCCCCACCCUCCAUUCCUCUGUCUCUCCAUUCCUCCACCUACUCCUCCCAAUUUCUCCCCCUACAGCCCCCCUUCUCACCACCACUUAUAAUGGCACACAGGGCUCCCUCUGAGGUGGACGGCCCGAUGCACAGAGAAUUUCUGACCUUGUGA